This 269-nucleotide non-coding RNA is filed under the name Carnobacterium maltaromaticum. RNAcentral's name for it is "T-box sequence". It matches the Rfam family "T-box leader". From Rfam's summary of the family: Uncharged tRNA acts as the effector for transcription antitermination of genes in the T-box leader family. T-boxes are found upstream of many aminoacyl-tRNA synthetase genes and some amino acid biosynthetic genes usually in Gram-positive bacteria. Lineage: Bacteria; Bacillati; Bacillota; Bacilli; Lactobacillales; Carnobacteriaceae. The record is from RNAcentral.
AGAAAAGCGAUGAUAAGAAGAGUACGUUUUAAUGUCAUUUAAAAGAGAGCCUGGAUAGCUGAAAAAAGGCAAUGAAUAUAGAACUGAAGAUGGUCUUUGAGCGAGGAGUAGGCGAAUUGGUUUUACCAACAAGCUUAUUACGGGAGCACCCGUUACAGUGCCACAGUAUAAAAAGUUGUUUUUUUCUUUUGUACUGAUUGAGGUCGACUUAGUGAUGAGUCAACAAAACAAGGUGGUAACACGAAAUGUCCAAAGCUUUCGUCCUUGAA